CGGGGACACCGGCGGACGGCUCAGUAACACGUCGGUAACCUACCCUCGGGAGGGGGAUAACCCCGGGAAACUGGGGCUAAUCCCCCAUAGGCCUGGGGUACUGGAAGGUCCCCAGGCCGAAAGGGGCUCUGCCCGCCCGAGGAUGGGCCGGCGGCCGAUUAGGUAGUUGGUGGGGUAACGGCCCACCAAGCCGAAGAUCGGUACGGGCCAUGAGAGUGGGAGCCCGGAGAUGGACACUGAGACACGGGUCCAGGCCCUACGGGGCGCAGCAGGCGCGAAACCUCCGCAAUGCGGGCAACCGCGACGGGGGGACCCCCAGUGCCGUGGCAAAGCCACGGCUUUUCCGGAGUGUAAAAAGCUCCGGGAAUAAGGGCUGGGCAAGGCCGGUGGCAGCCGCCGCGGUAAUACCGGCGGCCCAAGUGGUGGCCGCUAUUAUUGGGCCUAAAG
RNAcentral lists this ribosomal RNA (447 nucleotides) under Thermococcus sp. AV16. RNAcentral's name for it is "bacterial SSU rRNA". It matches the Rfam family "Archaeal small subunit ribosomal RNA", at positions 70 to 515 of the family's 1478-position model. The record is from RNAcentral. Lineage: Archaea; Methanobacteriati; Methanobacteriota; Thermococci; Thermococcales; Thermococcaceae.